This 180-nucleotide unclassified non-coding RNA is filed under the name Glomus indicum. Its description in RNAcentral is "partial internal transcribed spacer region". The stretch from base 1 to 46 matches the Rfam family "Eukaryotic small subunit ribosomal RNA", at positions 1786 to 1831 of the family's 1831-position model. The record is from RNAcentral. Lineage: Eukaryota; Fungi; Glomeromycota; Glomeromycetes; Glomerales; Glomeraceae.
AAGUCGUAACAAGGUUUCCGUAGGUGAACCUGCGGAAGGAUCAUUACCAAUAUAGCGAACCGAGCGUUAGCGAGGCUUCGCGAUCAAAUUUGUAUUUAAAACCCAACUCUUUAAAUGUAUAUAUUAUUAUUGUAUUCUAAAUAAUAAAGAUCACUUUCAACAACGGAUCUCUUGGCUCUC